AACUUCUCCAAAUUAAUUCAGGACUUUCGUCUUGUAAUUGGAAUGAUGGUGAUGUACAACCUCACCAGAGUACCAAUUGGAGGGGAGUCUGGUGCCGCAGCCGCGGUAAUUCCAGCUCCAAUAGCGUAUAUUAAACUUGUUGCAGUUAAAAAGCUCGUAGUUGUAUUUCAGCCUCGCGUUUUUUCCCUCUUUUCGGGUCUGUUCGCUGGCUUUGUUUUUACUUUGAGAAAAUUAGAGUGUUUCAAGCAGACUUUUGUCUUGAAUACUUCAGCAUG
Molecule: ribosomal RNA, 275 nt
Filed under: Babesia sp.
Lineage: Eukaryota; Apicomplexa; Aconoidasida; Piroplasmida; Babesiidae
Description: partial small subunit ribosomal RNA
Rfam family: Eukaryotic small subunit ribosomal RNA
Source: RNAcentral